AGGGAAAUAGCUCAGUGGUAAGAGUGCGUGAUUAACACGCAUGAGCUGAGGUCCUGAGUUCAAUCCCCAGUACCUCCA
This 78-nucleotide transfer RNA is filed under the name Camelus ferus (Wild Bactrian camel). It matches the Rfam family "tRNA". From Rfam's summary of the family: Transfer RNA (tRNA) molecules are approximately 80 nucleotides in length. Their secondary structure includes four short double-helical elements and three loops (D, anti-codon, and T loops). Lineage: Eukaryota; Metazoa; Chordata; Mammalia; Artiodactyla; Camelidae. The record is from Rfam by way of RNAcentral.